This 475-nucleotide ribosomal RNA is filed under the name uncultured bacterium. Its description in RNAcentral is "SSU rRNA". It matches the Rfam family "Bacterial small subunit ribosomal RNA", at positions 26 to 518 of the family's 1533-position model. The record is from RNAcentral.
AGGACGAACGCUGGCGGCGUGCUUAACACAUGCAAGUCGAGCGAGGCCCUUCCUUCGGGAAGGUGCCCUAGCGGCGAACGGGUGAGUAACACGUGGGCAACCUGCCCCUAGCACUGGGAUAACUCCGGGAAACCGGGGCUAAUACCGGAUAUGACCUCUGAGGGCAUCCUCGGAGGUGUAAAGGAUUCUGGCUAGGGAUGGGCCCGCGGCCUAUCAGCUUGUUGGUGGGUAAAGCCUACCAAGGCGACGACGGGUAGCCGGCCUGAGAGGGCGACCGGCCACACUGGGACUGAGACACGGCCCAGACUCCUACGGGAGGCAGCAGUGGGGAAUAUUGCACAAUGGGCGAAAGCCUGAUGCAGCGACGCCGCGUGAGGGAUGACGGCCUUCGGGUUGUAACCUCUUUCAGCAGGGACGAAGCGAAAGUGACGGUACCUGCAGAAGAAGCACCGGCCAACUACGCGCCAGCAGCCGC